CCGUCGAUAGCUCAGUUGGUAGAGCGGUGGACUGUAGAGGUUUCAAAGUUAUCCAUAGGUCGCUGGUUCAAAUCCGGCUCGACGGA
This 86-nucleotide transfer RNA is filed under the name Strigamia maritima. Its description in RNAcentral is "tRNA-Tyr for anticodon GUA". It matches the Rfam family "tRNA". From Rfam's summary of the family: Transfer RNA (tRNA) molecules are approximately 80 nucleotides in length. Their secondary structure includes four short double-helical elements and three loops (D, anti-codon, and T loops). Lineage: Eukaryota; Metazoa; Arthropoda; Chilopoda; Geophilomorpha; Linotaeniidae. The record is from Rfam by way of RNAcentral.